Molecule: ribosomal RNA, 494 nt
Filed under: uncultured bacterium
Lineage: Bacteria
Description: partial 16S ribosomal RNA
Rfam family: Bacterial small subunit ribosomal RNA
Source: RNAcentral
GACGAACGCUGGCGGCGUGCUUAACACAUGCAAGUCGAACGGUGAAGCGCCUUCCUUUUUGGUGGGUGUGGAUGAGUGGCGAACGGGUGAGUAACACGUGAGUAACCUGCCCCCUUCUUCUGGAUAACCGCAUGAAAGCGUGGCUAAUACGGGAUAUCCUGGGUCUGUCGCAUGAUGGGUAUGGGAAAGAUAUUGGUUCGGUGGGGGAUGGGCUCGCGGCCUAUCAGGUUGUUGGUGGGGUGAUGGGCUUCGAAGGCGGUGACGGGUAGCCGGCCUGAGAGGGUGGACGGCCACACUGGGUGUGAGACCCCGUCCGGACUGAUACAGGGGGCAGCCGUCGGCGAUAGUGAGCAGUGGGGGCAAGCCUGAUGCAGCGGCGCCGCGUGAGGGGUAGCGGCCUGCGGGUUGUGAAGCCCUUUCGCCAGUGAAGCGCGCCUGCCUCGUUUGUGGCUGGGUUGACGGUAGCUGGAAAAGAAGCACCGGCUAACUACGUG